Molecule: long non-coding RNA, 311 nt
Filed under: Aquila chrysaetos chrysaetos
Lineage: Eukaryota; Metazoa; Chordata; Aves; Accipitriformes; Accipitridae
Description: lncRNA (ENSACCG00020000915.1)
Source: RNAcentral
ACCAGCUGCAGUCAAAGUGCACAGAGUGGCUGGGGCUGGACUGCUGGAACAGUUCUAACUAUCAGAAAACAGCUCCAUCCCGCUCUGCGUGGUCAGGAUCAUUGUCCCGGCACUUACCAGGAACCAUCUUCAGACCCCUUCCAAAAAAGGACACUUCCAGCAUCGAUGUGAGUGUGAGUGGAAGAGAAAGCAACGAGUGAGGGUCGGGGGGUUCCUGUGCCCACAGAAGGCUUUGUCAGAUAAGAAUGAGAGCCGACAAGUCAGACUCCAAGCCCUGGAAGGACUACAUGCCCCGCAGCUUCCCCUGCGAU